RNAcentral lists this long non-coding RNA (532 nucleotides) under Struthio camelus australis. RNAcentral's name for it is "lncRNA (ENSSCUG00000005619.1)". The record is from RNAcentral. Lineage: Eukaryota; Metazoa; Chordata; Aves; Struthioniformes; Struthionidae.
UAAACUCCAUGAACUUCCCAGCUUGCGUUCCCAUUACAAAGGGCAACUCCUGCGGCCAAACAACCCGCCCAGGACAACGCAGCCAAACGCAACACGCAGACAGGCGCAAGGCUGAAGAAGAGAACGCAAGGGGACUGCCAUGUACCUGCUCUGAAGGUCCUUCCCCCAGAGUCGCAACGUUCUCCAAAAUCAGACGCUUGCUAAAACCCAUCUGUAACUGAACGCUCAGCUCUUCUUAAUUUGCACACACUGCGAGGGUGAAAAAGGGCUGGGAUCUGAUCUGCACGCAGUUAUAAUGUGGAUUGAUUUGACUGAGGGUAUGAUUUUUUUUUAAACCAAAAUAGUUAUACUGAUACCAUUCCUAGUGUUUUACCAGCAUAAAGGGUGUAUUGGUAUAGUUCAUAUACCUUCCCUAAAUGGGAACAUGUAUGUAUGAUGUAUUAAGCAUAUGUGUAUCAGUAGAAAUCACAUCUACACCGGAAGGAUAUAGUGAUGUUACUACACAAAUAAAAGUUUUUGUUAAAGCUGUACA